This 1755-nucleotide ribosomal RNA is filed under the name Candidatus Rokuibacteriota bacterium. RNAcentral's name for it is "bacterial LSU rRNA". It matches the Rfam family "Bacterial large subunit ribosomal RNA", at positions 1 to 1691 of the family's 2925-position model. Lineage: Bacteria; Candidatus Rokuibacteriota. The record is from RNAcentral.
GUGGUCAAGCUAGUAAGGGCGGACGGAGGAUGCCUAGGCGCCGGGAAGCGACGAAGGACGUGGCAAGCUGCGAAAAGCCGCGGGGAGCCGCAAGCAGGCCGAGAGCCGCGGAUAUCCGAAUGGGGGAACCUGGGCGGGGUCAUGCCCGCUCGUGGCUGGCUGAAUAGAUAGGCUAGCGCACGCGAACCGAGGGAACUGAAACAUCUCAGUACCUCGAGGACAAGAAAUCAAGCGAGAUGGCCCGAGUAGCGGCGAGCGAAAGGGCUGGAGCCUAAACCAGGGUCGAGCGAUCGGCCCUGGGGUUGCGGGGCUCGUACGGGGGCAACCCGGGGAGUCAGAAAGUCAGCCGCCAGUCGAAGGCCGUGGGAGCGGCCACCACAGAGGGUGACAGUCCCGUAGACGAAGGCGAGCUGGCCUCCCUGGUACGAGUACCCAAGUACCACGGGGCACGUGCAAUCCCGUGGGAAUCCGGGGGGACCACCCUCCAAGGCUAAACAUUCCCCGGCGACCGAUAGUGAACGAGUACCGUGAGGGAAAGGCGAAAAGAACCCCGGUGAGGGGAGUGAAAGAGAACCUGAAACCGUCUGCCUACAAGCGGUGGGAGGGCAAUACGCGGGGGGAGACUCCCGUGGAGGCCUGACCGCGUGCCUUUUGCAUAAUGAGCCGGCGAGUAACGGGGUGUGGCGAGGUUAAGGGCGGGAGGCCCGGAGCCGGAGCGAAAGCGAGUCCGAAGAGGGCGGAAAGUCGCACACCGUUGACCCGAAGCCGAGUGAGCUACCCCUGGCCAGGGUGAAGCCGCUGUAAGAGGCGGUGGAGGCCCGAACCGGUGUUGGUUGAAAACAGCUCGGAUGAGCUGGGGGUGGGAGUGAAAGGCUAAUCAAACUCGGAGAUAGCUGGUUCUCCCCGAAAUAGCUUUAGGGCUAGCCUCGGACGUGAGGGCGGGUGGUAGAGCACUGAAUGGGCUAGGGGCCCGACCAGGUUACCAACCCCAAUCAAACUGCGAAGGCCCGUUCAUCGAAGUCCGGGAGUCAGACGACGUGGGAUAAGCUGCGUGGUCGAGAGGGCAACAACCCAGAUCGUCAGCUAAGGUCCCGAAGUGAGUGCUGAGUGGGAAACGAUGUGGCGGCGCGCAGACAGCCAGGAGGUUGGCUUAGAGGCAGCCAUCCUUUAAAGAGUGCGUAACAGCUCACUGGUCAAGCGGCGCUGCGCGGACAAUUCAACGGGGCUAAGCACUCCACCGACGCUGCGGCUUGCGGAGGGAGACCUCCGGAGGGGUAGGGGAGCAUUCCGCGCUAGGGAGAAGGCCGACCGCGAGGACGGCUGGACGAGGCGGAAGCGAGAAUGCCGGCACGAGUAGCGAGAACGCAGGUGAAAACCCUGCGCGCCGAAAGCCCAAGGGUUCCUGGGGAAGGUCAAUCCGCCCAGGGUUAGGCGGCCCCUAAGCGGAGGCCGAGAGGCGUACGCGAAGGACAACAGGUGAACAGUCCUGUUCCGCGGGUUGGGCGUUUGAGCGAUGGGGGGACGGAGGAGGCUAAGCACCGCCGGGGGGUGGAAAUCCCGGUCCAAGUGCGUAGGGUGUCGCUGCAGGAAAAUCCGCAGUGGCGCGGGCGAGCCGCAAGCCUGAAACACGAUGGGGAGCCCUUCGGGGCACAAACGGGCUGAGGCCAGACUUCCCAGAAAAACCUCUAGCGAGUCCGACCGGCGACCGUACCGGAAACCGACACAGGUGGGCGAGGAGAAGAUCCACAGGCGCUC